Molecule: long non-coding RNA, 481 nt
Organism: Trifolium pratense (red clover)
Lineage: Eukaryota; Viridiplantae; Streptophyta; Magnoliopsida; Fabales; Fabaceae
Exons: 3
Source: RefSeq, a predicted model, not a curated record
UUUGACAAAGGACAAAAUUGAACUUAAACGUCAUAAUUUCCACGAAUUAUCUUCUGCCACCACCGUGUAGCCUUAACGACGGCGAAAAUCGCCGCCGCACCUUCUCUAACCUAACCACCAUCCCCAUCCUGGUGGUUAAACUCCAAUGAGGCUCAUCAGUCUUCUUCUCCGACAACUGAAGCUCAACAUUGUUUGCGGGGAAGCACAAUGCCCCAAUUAAUAUAUCAGCUUAUCUUCAACUUCUAGAUAUUUUUAUGUUACGGACGGGAGAAUUGUCAACUUCGGCUUGUGGGACGUUGCUACUGCAGCUCUAGCAUCUAGCCCAGAAGUAGGCUCAUCCAUGAAUAUGAUAGAAGGAUUACCCACCAGCUCAACUGCAAUAGUCAAUCUUUUACGCUGUUCAGUUGAGAGACCGUUAAUACCAGGGAGACCAACAUAUGCAUCCCUUAGCGGGUUCAGCUCCACUAGCUCCAUGACUUCC